UGCUCUCCGAGUGGUGUGGAUGUUUAUUGGGCCUAAAGCAUCCGUAGCUGGCUAAGUUAGUCCCUUGUUAAAUCCACCGAAUUAAUCGUUGGAUUGCGGGGGAUACUGCUUGGCUAGGGGACGAGAGAGGCAGACGGUAUUUCCGGGGUAGGGGUGAAAUCCUAUAAUCCCGGGAAGACCACCAGUGGCGAAGGCUGUCUGCUAGAACGCGCCCGACGGUGAGGGAUGAAAGCUGGGGGAGCGAACC
RNAcentral lists this ribosomal RNA (247 nucleotides) under uncultured crenarchaeote. Its description in RNAcentral is "partial 16S ribosomal RNA". It matches the Rfam family "Archaeal small subunit ribosomal RNA", at positions 478 to 725 of the family's 1478-position model. The record is from RNAcentral. Lineage: Archaea; Thermoproteati; Thermoproteota.